GGGGCCUUGGCGCAAUUGGUAGCGCACCUCGUUUGCAACGAGGGGGUUAGGGGUUCGAGUCCCCUAGGCUCCA
This 73-nucleotide transfer RNA is filed under the name Nocardioides sp. CF8. It matches the Rfam family "tRNA". Rfam says of the family: Transfer RNA (tRNA) molecules are approximately 80 nucleotides in length. RNAcentral also lists the same sequence under 1 other name. Lineage: Bacteria; Bacillati; Actinomycetota; Actinomycetes; Propionibacteriales; Nocardioidaceae. The record is from Rfam by way of RNAcentral.